Long non-coding RNA from Ceratina calcarata, 383 nucleotides. RefSeq lists it as uncharacterized. NCBI's taxonomy places the organism in Eukaryota, Metazoa, Arthropoda, Insecta, Hymenoptera, Apidae. The transcript is spliced from 3 exons. The record is from RefSeq and is a predicted model, not a curated record.
UUUUUAAUUGGACGACGUUACAUUCGUAGUAGUGAGCACAUGAACAAUUGAAGUUCGAGACGAGAAGUAUAUCAUGUGGCAAGAAAAUUUAUGAGUUGACAAUUCGCCACCACUUGUCACUGUUGACAGAUUAUCAUUGGUUCAACAUUCGAUAGUGAACGAUCCAUUUUUUUGUUUCAUCGGAGCGGGACAAUUGUGUAUGAACAGAUUUGACCAGGUGUGGUUGAAAGUCGAUUAAAGCUAUGGAUGAUGAGGUAAUCGGUGGUCAGCAAAACAACAAGAGGUCACCAAUGACUUUAAACGUUAGUGGACUAUGGGACGUGGUUCCUCGACUGGACCACUACAGAUUGAGUCGCCGAGCCAAGAGGCCAUCAUUGAGCACC